GAAAUGCGAUAAGUAAUGUGAAUUGCAGAAUUCCGUGAAUCAUCGAAUCUUUGAACGCACAUUGCGCCCCCUGGCAGUCCGGGGGGCAUGCCUGUCCGAGCGUCAUUUCUGCCCUCAAGCACGGCUUGUGUGUUGGGUGUGGUCCCCCCGGGGACCUGCCCGAAAGGCAGCGGCGACGUCCGUCUGGUCCUCGAGCGUAUGGGGCUCUGUCACUCGCUCGGGAAGGACCUGCGGGGGUUGGUCACCACCAUAUUUCACCACGGUUGACCUCGGAUCAGGUAGGAGUUACCCGCUGAACUUAAGC
RNAcentral lists this unclassified non-coding RNA (304 nucleotides) under plant metagenome. Its description in RNAcentral is "partial contains 5.8S ribosomal RNA, internal transcribed spacer 2, and large subunit ribosomal RNA". The stretch from base 1 to 105 matches the Rfam family "5.8S ribosomal RNA", at positions 50 to 154 of the family's 154-position model. The record is from RNAcentral.